Molecule: long non-coding RNA, 284 nt
Filed under: Ananas comosus (pineapple)
Lineage: Eukaryota; Viridiplantae; Streptophyta; Magnoliopsida; Poales; Bromeliaceae
Description: long non-coding RNA (ACOM_LNC033714)
Source: RNAcentral
AUAUAUAUAUAUAUAUAUAUAUAUAUAUAUAUAUAUAUAUAUAGUAGGGUUAGAAUAUUUUUACACGUAUCAUCCAAGUGAUACUUGUGUGUUUUUAGUCAUUGGAUCUACUUUUUUAUUACUAAUAGUCCUUGGAUCAAACACUAUUCCACCUACCACCACCUAUCACCAUCAUCUCAACCUCACAUCUCUCCAUCCAAGGGCUAAAAACACACAAGUAUCACUUGGGUGAUACUUUUACAAGUAUUCUAGCUCUACUAUAUAUAUAUAUAUAUAUAGAGGGU